Molecule: ribosomal RNA, 253 nt
Filed under: uncultured bacterium
Lineage: Bacteria
Description: partial 16S ribosomal RNA
Rfam family: Bacterial small subunit ribosomal RNA
Source: RNAcentral
UACGUAUGGUGCAAGCGUUGUCCGGAUUUACUGGGCGUAAAGGGAGCGCAGGCGGCGCGCCAAGUCUGAUGUGAAACCCCGGGGCUCAACCCCGGGCAUGCAUUGGAAACUGGCGGGCUGGAGUGCCGGAGAGGUAAGCGGAAUUCCUAGUGUAGCGGUGAAAUGCGUAGAUAUUAGGAGGAACACCAGUGGCGAAGGCGGCUUACUGGACGGCAACUGACGCUGAGGCUCGAAAGCGUGGGGAGCAAACAGG